RNAcentral lists this transfer RNA (73 nucleotides) under Canis lupus familiaris (dog). It matches the Rfam family "tRNA". Rfam says of the family: Transfer RNA (tRNA) molecules are approximately 80 nucleotides in length. RNAcentral also lists the same sequence under 1 other name. The record is from Rfam by way of RNAcentral. Lineage: Eukaryota; Metazoa; Chordata; Mammalia; Carnivora; Canidae.
GCCUGGCUGGCUUAGUCGGUGGAGCAUGUGACUCUCGAUCUCAGGGUUGUGAGUUCGAGCCCCAUGUUGGGGG